This 339-nucleotide long non-coding RNA is filed under the name Eucalyptus grandis. RNAcentral's name for it is "long non-coding RNA (EGRA_LNC004983)". The record is from RNAcentral. Lineage: Eukaryota; Viridiplantae; Streptophyta; Magnoliopsida; Myrtales; Myrtaceae.
GAUAACCUCUCUAUUGAGAUUUAACAUAUAUUGAAGGAAGAAAGGCCUCUCUCUCUUCUCCCUCUCGACAUUGACUAUCACUUAACCCUCCACUUCCGCCCCCAGAGUGCCGAGCAUUGCCAUCAACUCCUCUAGCCACCUCUCCUGUGGAUGCGUGCUUGUGCAAGCGGAUGCGUGUCACAUCUAAGUGCGAUGCAUCGCUCGUCACCAUUGUUGGAGGAAGAUAUCCAUAUCCUCGAUGGUGCCUUGAGCUCUGCGCAGGAGAUCUGUCAAGGGAACGAGAGCUCUGGCCUUGUCCCCAUAGCUCACUCAGCUUGCGGGAUGACUCAAGGGGUUUCC